Molecule: long non-coding RNA, 1358 nt
Filed under: Homo sapiens (human)
Lineage: Eukaryota; Metazoa; Chordata; Mammalia; Primates; Hominidae
Description: HSALNT0318098
Source: RNAcentral
UGCAGAGCCCCAGACAGGCACAUGCAGGUCUCACGGCAAACUGGUCUGUGCAUGCAGGGAAGAGCAGAGAUCCCGUGACUGGGGUCCUGAGCUGAUCUGGGGUUGGGAGGGAGGUGGGUGGAAGGAGGCAGGAUCUGAACCAAAAGCUGCAGGGUAAACAGGAAUUGGCCACAAAGAAUGGGGUGGGGAAGGUGGGGCCAGAUGUGUCGGAGCAUGGGCCAAGGCCCCAGUCUGGAAAGGACCCACCUCUGAUGGCUGGUUAGUCAGCGGGCACAGGCCUGCAGGCAUGGAGAUGAAUUUGCAGAGGUGAGCAGGCACAGCACAGGCAGCCUGGAUUUUGCAGUAACCGACAUCAGAAGGCUGGCAAAAGGCUCCAAGGAAGCUGCGUGACCACAGUGUUGGAAAAUGGAAUCAGGCUACACGUGCUCUUGUGGGAAUCCCACGGCAGCGUCCCCAUGAGGAGGCAGGGGCCCACCAUCACCGGCUGCACCUCUGACCUUCGAUGACCUUGGGGGCCAGGUGUCACGGUCACCCUGCACACGUGGGUUCCCUCAGCUGCUCUCAGGAACAAGAGAAUGAACCUGUCACCUCCUCUCCCGCUUGAAGGACAGCACCAUUUAUUGUUUACUGUGGGCUGAGACAGCUGGGGAUUCCUCACUGCGAUGGAGCCGACAUGCAAUAUUGAGGCAAAGAUGGCAGGGAGGUGGGGGGCAGCGCAGAGGAGAAGAGGAGAGAGCCCUCCCACAGCAGGCCUCCCUCUGGGCAGGCUGAGCUUUGCCACUAGCAAGCCCCGCCGGUGCCGGGGAAGGGGAGAAGACACAGGACCUGGAGGGAGGCCUUGGUGAAUUGAGCCUUGGCUUUGCUGGGUGACCCAGGCUUGGUCCCUGGAUGCCUCUGAGCUGUUGCUGGAACGUGACCUCCCACCUCCCACGAUAGAAGAAAAGUGGUCUGGACAAAGGAGGCUGCAAUGGACUGAAUGUUGUAUUCCUCCCCAGUUCACAGGCUGAACCCCUAAUCCCAAGGUGAUGGGAUUUGGAGGCAGGACCUUUGGGAGGAAUUAGGUCAUGAGGGUGGAGCCCUUGUGAUGAGAUUAGUGCCCUGGUAAGAAGAGGCCAGAGAGCUGGCUAGCUCUUUUUCUGCCACGUGAAGAUAACGAGAAGGCAGCCACCUGUAAACUAGGAAGACAGCCCUCACCAGAACCUGACCUUGCUGGAACCUUGAUGUUGGACUUUCAAACCCCAGAGCUAUGAGAAAUAAAUGUCUGUUGUUUAAGUCACCCAGUUUGGAGUGUUUCGUGAGAGCCAUCCGAGCUGACGGAGGCAGAGCGUGCACUCUGGUUUUCCCUGAAGACAGAGGCA